Molecule: ribosomal RNA, 445 nt
Filed under: uncultured Anaerolineaceae bacterium
Lineage: Bacteria; Bacillati; Chloroflexota; Anaerolineae; Anaerolineales; Anaerolineaceae
Description: bacterial SSU rRNA
Rfam family: Bacterial small subunit ribosomal RNA
Source: RNAcentral
GCACAAGCAGCGGAGCGUGUGGUUUAAUUCGAUGCUACACGAAGAACCUUACCUGGGUUUGACAUAGAGGUAGUAGGGAAGCGAAAGCGGACCGACCUUCGGGAGCCUCUACAGGUGUUGCAUGGCUGUCGUCAGCUCGUGUCGUGAGAUGUUCGGUUAAGUCCGCUAACGAGCGCAACCCUCGCUGUGUGUUACAAGUGUCACACGGUACUGCCGAUAUUAAGUCGGAGGAAGGUGGGGAUGACGUCAAGUCAGCAUGACCUUUAUAUCCAGGGCUACACACACGCUACAAUGGCCAGUACAAUGGGUUGCCAAGCCGCGAGGCGGAGCCAAUCCUAAAAAGCUGGCCUCAGUUCAGAUUGCAGUCUGCAACUCGACUGCAUGAAGUUGGAGUUGCUAGUAACCGCAGGUCAGCAAUACUGCGGUGAAUACGUUCCCGGGGAUU